UGCAGUUCUACACCUGCUUUUACAUACCGGGCAAACAUUGCUAGUCUUUAAAUAUGUGGUCAUACAGGGAAGAUGGAACUCGUGCUCGCAAACCGAUCGGAAUACCUCAUCUGUGGUCUGUAUGGCUUUCUGGCACAGCGCGCACACAGGUCUUACACCUUCACCUGCCCCUUGGGCUUCCUUUCCGGGAGAUCUGUCCAAACCCAUGGCAAGAAAAUGCUACUUAUCUCGGUUGUUUCCUAUCAUCUAUGUAGUAUGGGAUUGGUUUGGCAAUACUACUCUGAAAGUCGUGACUAUAAUUCGUCCUAACUUUGUUUUAUUCAACUAAAAUUUCGAUACUAAGUUUUGAUACCAAUAAUGAACUCUAUGACCGACGCUCGCGCACCACAAUCUACAUUCUACUCUUUUUCGAUAUCUCCUUUGAAAGGUUUACGUUUAGUUCGAACGCGACUCGCAUCUACGGAUCGACACUGAUUCCGACACUUCCGACAGCUAACUCUGAGACCACCGUCAGUAAUUCUGGAAUAAAUCUCUUCUCUCCAUCGUGGAUAGAGUAACGCUCGAAAGCAGAAUAUCUAUGUUCCAAUGCGCUGGAGUCGAAGAAAACUUUUACUUAAUAGGAUGGUGUGAACACUAACGCGGUAUUUCCCGCAGGGUCAGGCGGUCGACAUUCGUCAUUCUCGCUCUGCAAUUCCACUGAAGGAUUUAGCCUACGUCGCUUCUAGUUAAUUGAGCCUCUUCUUGCUGACUGUCAUCUGGGGUCAGAAAGGAAUAACUCUGCUCCUUUAUCUGGUUUCCACUUCAGAUGACUAGUCCGCAAGGGAUAGCGAAAGCACUUUAACGGAAAAGGAAACUUUUGUAAACGCGGAAAAGAAAAUUUCUAUCUAAUCAUCCACGGGUCCAACCGAGUAUUUGAAUCUACCCUGUCGGGCCCCACGUUGGGCGCCACUUAUGAAAAUUUCUUUAAUCAUUUAAUAAAAUUAUCUUUUUAGUUAUAAUAUUAUUAUAACUGUAACGUGUAACGCUCGUCUACGCUAGACGGACAGGAGGGGCGAUCUGCAAAGGCGGGGCACGCUUUAAAUGUUCCGGCUCUAGCUCGUCGGCUUUGGGGUGGUGGUUCUUGCGCGUACAGAUCGUCUCCCUUUAGCAACACUAUCACGCGAUAAUUUUAACGAUUUAUUUUCCUAAGAAUUGAGCGUGCUGCGACUAUACGGUGCUAGAACUACCGGUAGAUCGACGAAAAGAUAAAAGAAACGCUCCGUAAAGAAUAGGGGAGAGUGCAGAAGAGAAGGAAGGAGAAGAUGAGGGAGAGAGAGAGAGAGGGAAAGUAGAAAGAGAGUGAAGAGUGAGGGAAAGAGGAGGAGAUAUCGGUUGCUAUCCCACGGAUGUCAGUGUGGUAGCUUAUUUUGCCCGCCCAACCUAUGACCAUCUUCCUCGAAACCGGAAGUUUCAGAUGGCCCCUUUAGCUAGAUCGCGGUUACACGCACGCCGGCACAGAGUUCAUCCUUUUGUAUCUUUAUCUAAAUUCCAUUAUAUAUUUGUUCGAUAAACGAUCAAAACUAAUAUAUUCAGCGAAGGCAUAUUUUUCUAAUUCUAGAGAUCUACAGCGAGUAUAUGUAUAUGAGAGAUUCUGAGGCGUAUAUAAAGUGAUAUGAGGUGGGGUUAAUACUUAAGGUGUAUCUUAAGGUUAGCAGGGUAUUCCUGGCACAAAUUCAUUCAAAUUUUCUUUCAAUUCGGUUGCUUGUAUACAACUGGCAAUAUAGGAUAUAGUGAGGAAAGUGUAAGAUUGCUGCUAUGCAUUAGCGAUUUCAUCGUAAAUUCGUUUCUUAUUUACUUUUCGAGAGCUUAGGAUUGGGCGCGCCCGCUAGAACCAAACGAAAGUCGCAGGAUUUUACUCACGCAAUUACGUUUCUCCAUCGGCGAAAGAUCGAUCUUCCGGCAACUGCUGAAAUAGAACGUUAUCCUUUUUCUUUCGUUUACAUUAGUGCUUUCGAGACCUUUGAUUUCCCUCAGGCGGGGUUAGAUCUAAAUCCAAUCAGUUUCUGUUUUGUUUCGGGUGCUUUUUAGAUUUCUUACAAUUUCCUCUAAAUUCUUUCCAAUAUUUCAUAUAAAUUCUUAAUUAGAACGGGUACAACUAGUAUUUAAAGCUAGAUCUUAGGAACUUCAUUUGUUUGUUCAAAGGAACGAUUCUAGAGUCUUAUUCAUGGGUUCGAGUCUCUGUCGGAUUCGACGGAAUGGCCUAACUGAUAUUUAAGCUAAAUUUUAGGAGCUUCAUUUGUUUGCUCAAAGGAGC
This is a long non-coding RNA of Drosophila miranda, 2293 nucleotides long. RefSeq lists it as uncharacterized. NCBI's taxonomy places the organism in Eukaryota, Metazoa, Arthropoda, Insecta, Diptera, Drosophilidae. The record is from RefSeq and is a predicted model, not a curated record. The transcript is spliced from 2 exons.